This 574-nucleotide ribosomal RNA is filed under the name Trichoderma asperellum. Its description in RNAcentral is "eukaryotic LSU rRNA". The stretch from base 173 to 326 matches the Rfam family "5.8S ribosomal RNA". The record is from RNAcentral. Lineage: Eukaryota; Fungi; Ascomycota; Sordariomycetes; Hypocreales; Hypocreaceae.
GUCACUCCCAACCCAUGUGACGUUACCAAACUGUUGCCUCGGCGGGGUCACGCCCCGGGUGCGUCGCAGCCCCGGAACCAGGCGCCCGCCGGAGGAACCAACCAAACUCUUUCUGUAGUCCCCUCGCGGACGUAUUUCUUACAGCUCUGAGCAAAAAUUCAAAAUGAAUCAAAACUUUCAACAACGGAUCUCUUGGUUCUGGCAUCGAUGAAGAACGCAGCGAAAUGCGAUAAGUAAUGUGAAUUGCAGAAUUCAGUGAAUCAUCGAAUCUUUGAACGCACAUUGCGCCCGCCAGUAUUCUGGCGGGCAUGCCUGUCCGAGCGUCAUUUCAACCCUCGAACCCCUCCGGGGGAUCGGCGUUGGGGAUCGGGACCCCUCACACGGGUGCCGGCCCCGAAAUACAGUGGCGGUCUCGCCGCAGCCUCUCCUGCGCAGUAGUUUGCACAACUCGCACCGGGAGCGCGGCGCGUCCACGUCCGUAAAACACCCAACUUUCUGAAAUGUUGACCUCGGAUCAGGUAGGAAUACCCGCUGAACUUAAGCAUAUCAAUAAGCGGAGGAAAAGAAAAUUUUU